GGCGGCUUAGCUCAGCAGGUAGAGCAAACGGCUCAUAUCCGUUAGGUCGUAGGUUCAAGCCCCACAGCCGCUACUA
This 76-nucleotide transfer RNA is filed under the name Spirochaetaceae bacterium. RNAcentral describes it as "tRNA-Met". It matches the Rfam family "tRNA". Rfam says of the family: Transfer RNA (tRNA) molecules are approximately 80 nucleotides in length. Their secondary structure includes four short double-helical elements and three loops (D, anti-codon, and T loops). Lineage: Bacteria; Pseudomonadati; Spirochaetota; Spirochaetia; Spirochaetales; Spirochaetaceae. The record is from RNAcentral.